UACCCAAAAUUUUAUCUAUUUAUAUUGUUAAAAAAUGACGUGGUUGUUUAAAUAACUAGAUAGUGACACGUGACGUGACACGUGUACCUCAUAUUGAUGUAUAGAGACAAAUUUUUAAUGGCAGAAAUGGAUGAAAUUUUUAAUA
Gossypium raimondii (Peruvian cotton) is the source of this 145-nucleotide non-coding RNA. NCBI's taxonomy places the organism in Eukaryota, Viridiplantae, Streptophyta, Magnoliopsida, Malvales, Malvaceae. The record is from Rfam.